Molecule: unclassified non-coding RNA, 222 nt
Filed under: uncultured Thelephoraceae
Lineage: Eukaryota; Fungi; Basidiomycota; Agaricomycetes; Thelephorales; Thelephoraceae
Description: sequence contains ITS2
Source: RNAcentral
ACACCUCAACUCUCACGGUUCGCCGUGAUGAGCUUGGACUUUGGGGGUCUUGCUGGCCUGUUGUCGGCUCCUCUCAAAUGAAUCAGCUUUCCAGUGUUUGGUGGAAUCACGGGUGUGAUAACUAUCUACGCUCGUGGUUUUCUGCCAGGUGUGCGACCUUCAGCGAUGGGGGUUCGCUGGGGCUAAUAAACGUCUCCCUCCAGCGGAGACAGCUUUGUGAAC